AUACGAAGGGUGCGAGCGUUAAACGGAAUUACUGGGCGUAGAGCGCGCGUAGGCGGUUGGAUAAGUCGGAUGUGAAAGCCCCGGGCUCAACCUGGGAAUUGCAUUCGAAACUGUCCGGCUAGAGUAUGGUAGAGGGAAGCGGAAUUCCACAUGUAGCGGUGAAAUGCGUAGAUAUGUGGAGGAACACCAGUGGCGAAGGCGGCUUCCUGGACCAAUACUGACGCUGAGGUGCGAAAGCGUGGGGAGCAAACAGGAUUAGAAACCCUAGUAGUCC
RNAcentral lists this ribosomal RNA (274 nucleotides) under uncultured bacterium. RNAcentral describes it as "partial 16S ribosomal RNA". It matches the Rfam family "Bacterial small subunit ribosomal RNA", at positions 523 to 796 of the family's 1533-position model. The record is from RNAcentral.